This is an RNA transcript of Vitis riparia (riverbank grape), 2353 nucleotides long. It is a transcript of the gene named pentatricopeptide repeat-containing protein At1g06270, with no coding region annotated. NCBI's taxonomy places the organism in Eukaryota, Viridiplantae, Streptophyta, Magnoliopsida, Vitales, Vitaceae. The record is from RefSeq and is a predicted model, not a curated record. The transcript is spliced from 4 exons.
GCCAUUUACACUCCUAACCAGCCAUGUUAUUGGUUCCAAAGAUCGGAGGUUAGGAUUCGGCUAAAGUUGAAUUGGGAAGUGCUCAUUAUUCUUAGCCUCAGAGACCGUUGGGCAUGCAAUCAAAUCUAGACCCAGGAAUCCACAAUUCUAUUUGGGUCUAAUCCAUGAGGCUACCAACUUUUAUGGAAGCAUAUAAACCUCUGCAGGUUCCAUGUUUUGACAUACAUGCUUGCUCACUGGCAAAUUAAUGUCUUACACACUCAAAAAUGGCAAUUGGAGCAACAAAACUAUGCAGAUCUCUCUUUCAUUUUCAUUAUUCUCUCCGCCAAAUUUCUUCAAUUCAUUCAAUCACUUCAUCACAAACACUCGAAGAAUCUAUUAAAGCUGCAGUUGAAUCCAAAACCUACCAGAAAAUUCCUGACCUUCUCAUCUCAGAACAAACUUGCCUAAACCCGAAUCCCUUCUCAUUCCUCUCUACCUUCUCCCAGAACCUCAGAACCCAGGUUGUUGAUGAAAUUUUACAAUCUUUUAUCCCUCUCAGACCACGCUCUCGCUCCCAGAUUGCAUAUGCCUGCCUCCUCUCUUUCACACUCCAAAGCCCCAAUCCCCUCCCUCUUGCUCUUGCAAUUCUCCAACGUACUCUUCGCUCUGGCUGCAUUCCUGUCCCCCAAACCCACCUUCUUCUCUCCUCUGCAUGGCUUAGCCGACGACGACAAUCUCAUUCUGUCUCUAAUAUCCUAUCAGAAAUGCAAUCAAUUGGAUAUUACCCUGAUUGUGGCACCUGCAAUUACCUUAUUUUAUCCCUCUGUGCUAUUGAUCAGUUGGUGGAAGCUGUAAUAGUUUUGAAGAGCAUGGGUCAGGUGGGAUGUAUCCCUGAUUUAGAGGGUUAUGGGUCUGUAAUUGGUGCAAUGUGUGCAAUGGGGAGGACCACCGAUGCGACAGAAUUGAUGAAGGAAAUGGUGGCAAAAAUUGGAUUGACACCAAGGCAAGGAACAGUGUUGAAUCUGGUGGCAGCUUUGCGGGCAAAGAAAGAGAUUUGGAAAGCAGUUGAGAUGAUUGAGUUCUUGGAGGGAGAGGAUUUCAAUGCUGGGUUUGCAAGCUAUGAGUCGGUGCUAGAGGGGUGCUUGGCAUGUCGUGAGUUUGUCUUGGCUGGAAAGGUUGUGAUGGGGAUGACAGCAAGAGGAUUUAUUCCAUAUAUUGGGGCCAGACAGAAGGUGGUUGAGGGGCUGGCUAAUCUUGGUGAGUGGAAACUUGCUUUGGCUGUGAGGCAAAGAUUUGCAGAUUUGAGAUCUUAAGUCCUUAACAUUCCAAAGAGAGAAGGGAAUGAAUACAUACUGCAAUGACUAGGAGACAUUGGUAUCCUGACUUCAUUUAUAAGAUGAUCUAUCCUUAGUUGGCUGUGCAGUAGUCUGAGGUCAUUGAUUACUGGUCCUGCUUUUCCAUAAAUUGGUCAAGAGGGAGUUGGGAUGAAUCUGUUGCCAAAUUCCAUUACAGCUUGACAGACAGUUUUGUGUAUUCUUUUUGUUGUUAUAUACUAUUUGUAACAACAUGAUGAAUUGGUAGGAGAAAAAAGGGUCAGAUUUGCUCAAUUAUACAGAAAUUUGAGUUGAACAUUGCUGGCUUGGGAUCAUGUAGCCAGGAUUUCUCAUUUGCUAGCAUGUCCGCUAUUCUGUCAGGUUCGUCUUUGACCGAUCAGGGAGUUUGUGUAACCAACUAUUCAGCUGGGAAUGGUGGGACUUAAAGCUUGCACCUUGCCACCAUUACAAUCUGUGAAGUCUUCUAUGUUUCAUUUUUGGUUUGUGGUUUAUGUCGUUUCGUCCAUGGCUUUUGCAGCUGCGGGCAAUAGACGUGCAGGUGAGUUGAUUGUUAUGUUAGAUUUUCUACCUGCUUCCUCUAUCAUAGAUAUUAUUUGCUUGGGGACUUUAAAAGGUGUCUACAUGAUUAAGAACAGUCCAUUAUUUAUGUUAAGUCAAAAACUUUUUCAUCCAACUGAUAUGGGGUAUCACAAACACAGUUUGGAAUUCUUGACUUUGGGUCGGGUUGGACUCCUAAAUCUCACCAGGAUGAUGCUCACACAAAUGUCAUGGACAGAUGAACGCACCCAACACGAAAUGAGUUCAAUACAAAAUGCAGGAAGCCAUUCCAUUCAAGUUUGUUAACUAGGACGCUCUGUGUUGAUAAAAAUCUUGUGUUGCGUACAUAUGGCUGUUGGGUCAUUAGCUUUUGUCUCAUCUCCAAUAUAGUAUAUGGUCUUGUCCGAUUCGAUUGAAGGGAAUAAUAGAGCUGUGCCACAUUGCAUAAUAGAUUCAGUACCUUCAACAAUGGAACAGUGCCAUGAUAACUUUUACUAUUA